Molecule: ribosomal RNA, 524 nt
Filed under: Pecten jacobaeus
Lineage: Eukaryota; Metazoa; Mollusca; Bivalvia; Pectinida; Pectinidae
Description: partial large subunit ribosomal RNA
Source: RNAcentral
GGACUCYGACAUAAAUGGGACCGCCUGCCUACAAAAGCUCCUCUCGCUCCGUCUACUUGGCGACAGGACUCUAAUCCCACCAAUUCAGUCCAGGGCCUCGGUUGAUUCUCGCUCUGUAUAGGCCAUACUACACUCYACUAUACCAUAUUGCCAGGUCUGGAGCASACUACAGGAUGCUAAAAAACCAAAACCUGAACUCRGCAMCUCUGAUAUUUGAACACCGAASCCGGGCUGGGCUGAACUUGAUUUUGGAAACUUAUCUUGAACCUGGAAACUGGAACUCUGACUCCUGGAAACUGCACUGMAGGAUUCUAGGCGGGAUCCCGAGCCCRAGGUUGCUCGCCUCCUACUGAAUGGUUUAUUAUAGAUUUUCUAGGAGUUAYCGCUCCUUUACGGUACAACUUCUUUGUAUGUGGAKCUCCCUUCAUUUCAAAAAGGCUAUCGGUCCAUACUGUAKAUACUUCAAKUUAAUGUAUGUUUUCWUUCUUUCYCUUUUUAUUCUCUUUGAAAUUUUAUUUUUUUAA